Molecule: ribosomal RNA, 119 nt
Filed under: Pteropus alecto (black flying fox)
Lineage: Eukaryota; Metazoa; Chordata; Mammalia; Chiroptera; Pteropodidae
Source: RNAcentral
GUCCACAGCCAUGCCACCCUGAACAUGCCCAAUCUCGUGUGAUCUCGGAAGCUAAGCAGGGUCGGGCCUGGUUAGUACGUGGAUGGGAGACCACCCAGGAAGACCAGGUGCUCCAGGCG